GAAAACCUUUGGCAACAAUAAUAUGUAUUGCCACUAGUGGCAAGUUCGCCAGAGGUUUUUUUCUGGCAAACAAUUCCCUCAAGAUUCUAUUUUAAUCUGUGGCAACAAUAUUUAUUGCCACUAGUAGUGACAAACAGAAGUUGUUUUUGGUGAACACAUGAGUUCCAAGACCAGUAACCGUAGAUGACCAGUCAAGGGGAGAAGAAAAAUCUGUUGGAAAAUGGAAACAAAGUUAUCUAGCUACCUACCGAAGUUGUCAAUUACAAGGGAAAAAAUACAGAUUGAGGCCUUCAAUCAAGCUGAGGACAGAGAAAUAUGUGUGCACCAGUUCAUGCAUUCAACAAACUUUGGACGAAGGACUUCCACAGGUCCGCUGUCUCCAAAGACAAUAGUUCUGAACUGGAUCUGAUUUUGUUUUUUAACAUCCAUUGGUUGAAAGCUCAUUGUUCAGUUAUCACUUGGCUCGUGUAAAUUCUGUAGUUGCCCCUUUAAACCUAAUCCUAAAAUCAAAUCAAAGUUUAUUGGUUGUGUACACAGACUUGCAAAUGUUAUGGCAGGUGCAGCGAAAUAGUUUUGGUUUCUAGCUCCAACACUGCAAUAAUAAAAAUAAUACACACAUAAUCCAUAACAACAACAAAAAAUCAUGUGUUAUAUUGGAUGAGCCAUGACUAGAAUGCAGUAUAUACAUAUAAAGUGGGUGAAACAGUAUGUAAACAUUAACGUGACCAGUGUUCAAUGACUAUGUACAUAGAGCAGCAGUCUCUAAGUUGCAGGGUAGGGUACCGGCUACCGUUAGCCGGCUAGAACAGUGACUAAGGCGCAGGACUGCAUACAAGGCCGGCUAGUGGUGACUGUUUAACAGUCUGAUGGCCUGGAGAUAAAAGCUGCUUUCUCAGUCUCUUGGUCCAAGCAAAGCUGUUUGCACCUGUACUGUCUCCACCUUCUAGCGGGGUGAACAGGCCGUGGCUCGGGUGGCUGAGGUCCUUGAUGAUCUUCUUGGCCUUCCUGUGACACCGGGUGCUGUAGAUGUCCUGGAUGGCAGGCAUUUCUCUCAUGUAAAUGUAGCUACAUAAAAAUAUGAAAUAAACCAUUUAUAUUUAGGGAAAUAUUUAGCAUGCUGAUGAUUUCAAGUUGUAUUGGAUUUAUUUAUUAUUUGUAUCUGUUAAGACAUUGAAUGCAUGUUGUUUAGCAUAUUUAGUACAUUUUGUAUGUUGUCUUUCUUUUUGUAUGUGUCUUUAGUAUGAUACGUUUAGUUUUCUCUGUGAGGAGCAAGUUCAUAUGUGAUUUGGUUUAUGUAGAUAUGACAUUUCAAUGUUGUUAAUACCCAAAGUAACCAAAAAAAACGGAUCUAAUUUGCAUAUUCAUAAUGAGUUUGCAGCAAAUUUAAAGCAAACAGUAGAAUGUUCGCCACACGUUUCCCAGAAUUGUUUGCCAGAAGUUUGCAAAUUUGCAGCAACAGUUUGCCA
This 1466-nucleotide long non-coding RNA is filed under the name Salmo salar (Atlantic salmon). Its description in RNAcentral is "lncRNA (ENSSSAG00000094273.1)". Lineage: Eukaryota; Metazoa; Chordata; Actinopteri; Salmoniformes; Salmonidae. The record is from RNAcentral.